GGACAGGUGGCCGAGCGGCUGAAGGCGCCGGUUUGCUAAACCGGUAUACGGGAUACCGUCUCGUAUCGCGGGUUCAAAUCCCGCCCUGUCCG
Molecule: transfer RNA, 92 nt
Filed under: Phycisphaerae bacterium
Lineage: Bacteria; Pseudomonadati; Planctomycetota; Phycisphaerae
Description: tRNA-Ser
Rfam family: tRNA
About the family: Transfer RNA (tRNA) molecules are approximately 80 nucleotides in length. Their secondary structure includes four short double-helical elements and three loops (D, anti-codon, and T loops). Further hydrogen bonds mediate the characteristic L-shaped molecular structure. tRNAs have two regions of fundamental functional importance: the anti-codon, which is responsible for specific mRNA codon recognition, and the 3' end, to which the tRNAs corresponding amino acid is attached (by aminoacyl-tRNA synthetases). tRNAs cope with the degeneracy of the genetic code in two manners: having more than one tRNA (with a specific anti-codon) for a particular amino acid; and 'wobble' base-pairing, i.e. permitting non-standard base-pairing at the 3rd anti-codon position.
Source: RNAcentral